UUAAAUCAGGAACUAUAGAUC
This 21-nucleotide non-coding RNA is filed under the name Arabidopsis thaliana (thale cress). Lineage: Eukaryota; Viridiplantae; Streptophyta; Magnoliopsida; Brassicales; Brassicaceae. The record is from RNAcentral.